GUCAUAGUCAGUACAUUCAUCUUCAGAUAGCUAGGUGGACCAGUCAUAGUCAGGACAUUCAUCUCCAGAUAGCUAGGUGGACCAGUCAUAGUCAGUACAUUCAUCUCCAGAUAGCUAGGUGGACCAGUCAUAGUCAGUACAUUCAUCUUCAGAUAGCUAGGUGGACCAGUCAUAGUCAGUACAUUCAUCUCCAGAUAGCUAGGUGGACCAGUCAUAGUCAGUACAUUCAUCUCCAGAUAGCUAGGUGGACCAGUCAUAGUCAGUACAUUCAUCUUCAGAUAGCUAGGUGGACCAGUCAUAGUCAGUACAUUCAUCUCCAGAUAGCUAGGUGGACCAGUCAUAGUCAGUACAUUAAUCUCCAGAUAGCUAGGUGGACCAGUCAUAGUCAGUACAUUCAUCUUCAGAUAGCUAGGUGGACCAGUCAUAGUCAGGACAUUCAUCUCCAGAUAGCUAGGUGGACCAGUCAUAGUCAGUACAUUAAUCUCCAGAUAGCUAGGUGGACCAGUCAUAGUCAGUACAUUCAUCUCCAGAUAGCUAGGUGGACCAGUCAUAGUCAGUACAUUCAUCUCCAGAUAGCUAGGUGGACCAGUCAUAGUCAGUACAUUCAUCUUCAGAUAGCUAGGUGGACCA
Oncorhynchus keta (chum salmon) is the source of this 630-nucleotide long non-coding RNA. RefSeq lists it as uncharacterized. The transcript is spliced from 3 exons. Lineage: Eukaryota; Metazoa; Chordata; Actinopteri; Salmoniformes; Salmonidae. The record is from RefSeq and is a predicted model, not a curated record.